UCGGUUUUAAAUAAUCCUUAUAUGUAAAUGUGGUACAAAAAUGCCUAGUUUAACAUGGUGACCUCACUUUCCAUGUUUAACAACUAUAAAAUAUGGUUUAGGGAAGAACAGUACCAAAACCUAAUAUAUGCAUAUGAGGAGUUUCUGGACUUUGUUGUUUUGUUGUUCCGACCUCUUUUAAACUUGCCUAGAUAGGUAGUUUUCAUUUCCUUCACCCUCUUGCCAUGUUUAACAUCAUUUAAUAUUGUUGGGUACAUAAACGAGAUCGAAAUAAAUAACUUGAAUGUGGUGUUUCGUCAAUAUGCAACGGAGUUGCAUAUUGAGCUCCACUUAAUUUGUAGGAUUGCUUGUGCACUUUGCCAUGCCAUGUAUCUUUAAACCGGACAUGCAUCAUACUUGUUUGCGCAUCGUGCCAUGUUAAUGUGGUGGUUGUUUACUAUGUUGUUUGCUUCUUUCCGGUGUUGCUUCUUCGGGUUGGUUCCGAUAACGUCGUGUUGUGAGGAUUCGUUCGACUACGUCCGUUUGUCUUCUUCAUGGGCUCGUUCUUCUUCCUUGUGGGAUAUCAGGCAAGAUGACCAUACCCUCGAAAUCACUUCUAUCUUUGCUUGCUAGUUGCUCGCUCUAUUGCUAUGCCUAUGCUGCGAUACCUACCACAUGCUUUACCAUGCCUCCCAUGUUGCCAUGUCAAACCUCUAACCCACCUUGUCCUAGAAAACCGUUGUUUGGCUAUGUUACCGCUUUGCUCAGCCCCUCUUAUAGCGUUGUUAGUUGCAGGUGAAGAUUGGAGCUUGUUCCAUGUUUGGAACAUGGUUAUUUUUUUAGGAUAUCACAAUAUCUCUUAUUUAAUUAAUGCAUCUAUAUACUUGGUAAAGGGUGGAAGGCUCGGCCUUAUGCCUGGUGUUUUGUUCCACCCUUACCGCCCUAGUUUCCGUCAUAUCGGUGUUAUGUUCACGGAUUUUGCGUUCCUUACAUGGUUGGGUUAUAAUGGGAACCCCUUGACAGUUCGCCUUGAAUAAAACUCCUCCAGCAAGGCCCAACAUUGGUUUUAGCAUUUUCCACCUAGCCUUUUCUUUCCCUUGGGUAGGCCUGCCCAAGGGUCAUCUUUAUUUAAACUCCCCCACCCCCCGGGCCAGUGCUCCUCUGAGUGUUGGUCCGAAAUGGGCAGCCUGCGGGGCCACCUCGGGGCAACUCGAGGGAUGGUUUUACUCGUAGCUUGACCUAUCCGGUGUGCCCUGAUAACGAGAUAUGUGUAGCUCCUAUCGGGAUUUGUCGGGACAUCUGGGUGGCUUUGCUGGACUUGUUUUACCAUUGUCGACGAUGUCUUGUAACCGAGAUGCCCAGUCUGAUCGGAUUGUCUUGGGAGAAGGAAUAUCCUUCGUUGACCAUGAGAGCUUGUGAUGGGCUAAGUUGGGACACCCCUGCAGGGAUUUGAACUUUCGAAAGCCGUGCCCAUGGUUAUGGGCAGAUGGGAAUUUGUUAAUGUCUGGAUGUAGAAAACCUGAAGUUUAUCUUAAUUAAAAUGCAUCAACCGUGUGUGUAACCGUGAUGGUCUCUUCUCGGCGGAGUCCGGGAAGUGAACACGGUGUUGGUGUUAUGAUUGACGUAGGUUGUUCUAGGAUCACUUCUUGACCAUAGAUUCUCGAAUGUGCUUUGCCUUCUCUUCUCGCUCUCUUUUGCGUAUGUUAGCCACCAUAUAUGCUAGUCGCUUGCUACAGCUCCACCUCAUACCUUUUCCCUACCUAUAACCUUAAAUAGUCUUGAUCGCGAGGGUGUGAGAUUGCUGAGUCCCCGUGACUCACAGAUACUUCCAAAACCAUCUUGCAGGUGCCAAUGAUAUCAUGCAGGUGAUGCAACCGAGCUCAAGGAGGAGCUCAAUGAAGUUCGUGUUCGUUAUGUUGUUCCGUUUUCCAGUUGAUCAGUGGUGGAGACCAGUUGGGGUCGAUCGGGGAUCUGUGUAGCAUUUGGGGUAGUCUUCUUUUAUUUUGGGUUUCAUAGUCGGACCUUGAUUGUAUCUGGAUGAUGUAAUGCUUAUUCAUGUAUUGUGUGAAGUGGUGAUUGUAAGCCAACUAUGUACCUCCUUUCUUAUUCAUUACAUGGAUUUUUGUGAAGAUUACC
This 2115-nucleotide long non-coding RNA is filed under the name Triticum aestivum (bread wheat). Its description in RNAcentral is "long non-coding RNA (TAES_LNC010354)". Lineage: Eukaryota; Viridiplantae; Streptophyta; Magnoliopsida; Poales; Poaceae. The record is from RNAcentral.